UACAGGACAUGUGUGAAAAGGGGCUUUGUACUAUCCUUGACACACUGCCACUCCUGUAGGC
Astatotilapia calliptera (eastern happy) is the source of this 61-nucleotide microRNA precursor. NCBI's taxonomy places the organism in Eukaryota, Metazoa, Chordata, Actinopteri, Cichliformes, Cichlidae. The record is from Ensembl.